UCCACCGCGAGGUGGAAUCUGAAGGAAGCUUAGGGCAAAGUUCCGGCCCGAGGAACACGAACAUCAUCAGGCAUAUUCAGUUUGGACGAGUUUGCAAAACAAAACGAAAUCCUAAAGCUAUACAGAAACUGGAGUGUAAAUGAUGCGGGCAAGUGGAAUGAAAGUUAUAUGU
RNAcentral lists this non-coding RNA (172 nucleotides) under Salegentibacter sp. 24. Lineage: Bacteria; Pseudomonadati; Bacteroidota; Flavobacteriia; Flavobacteriales; Flavobacteriaceae. The record is from RNAcentral.